Molecule: ribosomal RNA, 362 nt
Filed under: uncultured Geobacillus sp.
Lineage: Bacteria; Bacillati; Bacillota; Bacilli; Caryophanales; Anoxybacillaceae
Description: bacterial SSU rRNA
Rfam family: Bacterial small subunit ribosomal RNA
Source: RNAcentral
GUUCGGGGGACAGGGUGACAGGUGGUGCAUGGUUGUCGUCAGCUCGUGUCGUGAGAUGUUGGGUUAAGUCCCGCAACGAGCGCAACCCUCGCCUCUAGUUGCCAGCAUUCGGUUGGGCACUCUAGAGGGACUGCCGGCGACAAGUCGGAGGAAGUGGGAUGACGUCAAAUCAUCAUGCCCCUUAUGACCUGGGCUACACACGUGCUACAAUGGGCGGUACAAAGGGCUGCGAACCCGCGAGGGGGAGCGAAUCCCAAAAAGCCGCUCUCAGUUCGGAUUGCAGGCUGCAACUCGCCUGCAUGAAGCCGGAAUCGCUAGUAAUCGCGGAUCAGCAUGCCGCGGUGAAUACGUUCCCGGGCCUU